UGUCCAGUAGCACCUUAGAGACCAACUAAGUUUGUUCUUGGUAUGAGCUUUUGUGUGCAUGAUCAUACAAAGAACAAACUUACUGUAGUUGGUCUCUAAGGUGCUACUGGACA
This is a non-coding RNA of Podarcis lilfordi (Lilford's wall lizard), 113 nucleotides long. Lineage: Eukaryota; Metazoa; Chordata; Lepidosauria; Squamata; Lacertidae. The record is from the annotation of a GenBank genome assembly.